This 380-nucleotide ribosomal RNA is filed under the name uncultured soil bacterium. RNAcentral describes it as "bacterial SSU rRNA". It matches the Rfam family "Bacterial small subunit ribosomal RNA", at positions 26 to 408 of the family's 1533-position model. The record is from RNAcentral.
AGAUUGAACGCUAGCGGGAUGCUUUACACAUGCAAGUCGAACGGCAGCGCGGACUUCGGUCUGGCGGCGAGUGGCGAACGGGUGAGUAAUAUAUCGGAACGUGCCCAGUAGCGGGGGAUAACUACGCGAAAGCGUGGCUAAUACCGCAUACGCCCUACGGGGGAAAGGGGGGAUUCUUCGGAACCUCUCACUAUUGGAGCGGCCGAUAUCAGAUUAGCUAGUUGGUGAGGUAAAGGCUCACCAAGGCGACGAUCUGUAGCUGGUUUGAGAGGACGACCAGCCACACUGGGACUGAGACACGGCCCAGACUCCUACGGGAGGCAGCAGUGGGGAAUUUUGGACAAGUGGGGAAACCUGAUCCAGCCAUCCCGCGUGUGCGA